Molecule: ribosomal RNA, 221 nt
Filed under: uncultured bacterium
Lineage: Bacteria
Description: partial 16S ribosomal RNA
Rfam family: Bacterial small subunit ribosomal RNA
Source: RNAcentral
GCAAGUCGAAUGAGCUCUUUCGGGAGUUAGUGGCGGACGGGUGAGUAACGCGUGAGGAUCUGCCCAAAGGAUGGGGACAACAGCGGGAAACUGCUGCUAAGACCCAAUGUGCCGAGAGGUGAAAUAUUUAUAGCCUUUGGAUGAACUCGCGUCUGAUUAGCUAGUUGGUGAGGUAAGAGCUUACCAAGGCGACGAUCAGUAGCUGGUCUGAGAGGACGAUC